AAGUCGUAACAAGGUCUCCGUUGGUGAACCAGCGGAGGGAUCAUUACCGAGUUUACAACUCCCAAACCCAAUGUGAACGUUACCAAACUGUUGCCUCGGCGGGAUCUCUGCCCCGGGUGCGUCGCAGCCCCGGACCAAGGCGCCCGCCGGAGGACCAACCAAAACUCUUUUGUAUACCCCCUCGCGGGUUUUUUAUAUCUGAGCCAUCUCGGCGCCUCUCGUAGGCGUUUCGAAAAUGAAUCAAAACUUUCAACAACGGAUCUCUUGGUUCUG
Molecule: unclassified non-coding RNA, 273 nt
Filed under: Trichoderma spirale
Lineage: Eukaryota; Fungi; Ascomycota; Sordariomycetes; Hypocreales; Hypocreaceae
Also listed under: 1 other name
Description: partial internal transcribed spacer region
Rfam family: Eukaryotic small subunit ribosomal RNA (bases 1-46)
Source: RNAcentral